RNAcentral lists this ribosomal RNA (253 nucleotides) under uncultured bacterium. RNAcentral's name for it is "partial 16S ribosomal RNA". It matches the Rfam family "Bacterial small subunit ribosomal RNA", at positions 524 to 776 of the family's 1533-position model. The record is from RNAcentral.
UACGUAGGGGGCGAGCGUUGUCCGGAAUGACUGGGCGUAAAGGGUGCGUAGGUGGUCAUGUAAGUCAGUAGUGAAAUUCCGAGGCUUAACUUCGGCGCUACUACUGAUACUAUAUGACUUGAGUGCAGGAGGGGCAAAUGGAAUUCCUAGUGUAGCGGUGGAAUGCGUAGAUAUUAGGAGGAACACCAGUGGCGAAGGCGAUUUGCCGGACUGUAACUGACACUGAGUCACGAAAGCGUGGGGAGCAAACAGG